GCAAGGAGUUCCUGGAGGAGGUUAUCCAGCGCAUGGAUGUGAGCCCGGCUGGGACGCACAUCGCAGUUCUGCAGUACUCAUACACAGUAAACGUGGAGUACACCUUCAAGGAGGCCCAGUCCAAGGAGGAUGUGCUGCGACAUGUGCGAGAGAUCCGCUACCAGGGGGGCAACAGGACAAACACUGGGCAGGCCCUGCAGUACCUUUCUGAGCACAGCUUCUCUCCCAGCCAGGGGGACCGGGAGCAGGCACCUAACCUGGUCUACAUGGUCACGGGGAACCCUGCCUCUGAUGAGAUCAGGAGGUUGCCUGGAGACAUCCAGGUGGUACCCAUUGGGGUGGGCUCCAGGGCCAACCUGCAGGAACUGGAGAGGAUCAGCAGACCCA
RNAcentral lists this long non-coding RNA (387 nucleotides) under Rattus norvegicus (Norway rat). Its description in RNAcentral is "long non-coding RNA NONRATT020920". Lineage: Eukaryota; Metazoa; Chordata; Mammalia; Rodentia; Muridae. The record is from RNAcentral.